RNAcentral lists this ribosomal RNA (497 nucleotides) under uncultured bacterium. RNAcentral describes it as "partial 16S ribosomal RNA". It matches the Rfam family "Bacterial small subunit ribosomal RNA", at positions 28 to 507 of the family's 1533-position model. The record is from RNAcentral.
GAUGAACGCUGGCGGCGUGCCUAAUACAUGCAAGUCGAGCGAACGGACGAGAAGCUUGCUUCUCUGAUGUUAGCGGCGGACGGGUGAGUAACACGUGGAUAACCUACCUAUAAGACUGGGAUAACUUCGGGAAACCGGAGUUAAUACCGGAUGAUAUUUUGAACCGCAUGGUUCAAAAGUGAAAGACGGUCUUGCUGUCACUUAUAGAUGGAUCCGCGCUGUAUUAGCUAGUUGGUAAGGUAACGGCUUACCAAGGCAACGAUGCAUAGCCGACCUGAGAGGGUGAUCGGCCACACUGGAACUGAGACACGGUCCAGACUCCUACGGGAGGCAGCAGUAGGGAAUCUUCCGCAAUGGGCGAAAGCCUGACGGAGCAACGCCGCGUGAGUGAUGAAGGUCUUCGGAUCGUAAAACUCUGUUAUUAGGGAAGAACAUAUGUGUAAGUAACUGUGCACAUCUUGACGGUACCUAAUCAGAAAGCCACGGCUAACUACGUG